GAUGAACGCUUGCGGUAUGCUUAACUCAUGCGAGUCGAACGGGAAUCCUUCGGGAUUCUAGUGGCGGACGGGUGAGUAACGCGUGAGAAUCUGGCCUCAGGUUGGGGACAACAGCGGGAGACGGCUGCUAAUACCCAAUAUGCCCAAAGGUGAAAGAUUAAUUGCCUGAGGGGGAGCUCGCGUCCGAUUAGCUAGUUGGUGGGGUGAAGGCUUACCAAGGCAGCGAUCGGUAGCUGGUCUGAGAGGACGAGCAGCCACACUGGGACUGAGACACGGCCCAGACUCCUACGGGAGGCAGCAGUGGGGAAUUUUCCGCAAUGGGCGAAAGCCUGACGGAGCAAUACCGCGUGAGGGAGGAAGGCUCUUGGGUUGUAAACCUCUUUUCUGAGGGAAGAAAUUUGACGGUACCUGAGGAAUCAGCAUCGGCUAACUCCGUGCCAGCCGCCGCGGUAA
RNAcentral lists this ribosomal RNA (453 nucleotides) under uncultured bacterium. RNAcentral describes it as "partial 16S ribosomal RNA". It matches the Rfam family "Bacterial small subunit ribosomal RNA", at positions 28 to 523 of the family's 1533-position model. The record is from RNAcentral.